CAUACAUUUCAAAAAAAAAAAAUCUUUUAAGCCUUCUUAAGUUUUUUGAGAGUGUCAUUUAAAAGGGUGAAGAAAAUGGCAAUUAUAGUGGAGCUUCUACCUUUUAACUCAUGUGUUGUCUGCAUUGUAUAUGGAAGCCGGUUGAAAAGUAUGUCAUUGGUUUCGGUUAUCCAACUAAUUUUGAGGUUGAUAUGUUGAUGGGAUAUUGGAGUAAGCCAAAAUGGAGAAGAGUUUUUGAGUACAAAAAACAACCAAUACUUACGCAAUAAUUUAUAGACAAGAUUAAGAUUAUAUCCUCUCAACCAAAGACAUGAUUUUUAACAUCAAAUCCAUUAUAAUUUGUGUUUGGUAAUGAAGGUUUAACUAACACUUAAUUUACAUUUUUCAAAUGUUUAUUUCUUUGGUCGUUGUUAGUCUCUAUAUUUACAUCAAAUCCUUAUGCUUUUCGAA
Gossypium arboreum is the source of this 450-nucleotide long non-coding RNA. RefSeq lists it as uncharacterized. NCBI's taxonomy places the organism in Eukaryota, Viridiplantae, Streptophyta, Magnoliopsida, Malvales, Malvaceae. The record is from RefSeq and is a predicted model, not a curated record. The transcript has 2 exons.